This 36-nucleotide ribosomal RNA is filed under the name Prospero autumnale (starry hyacinth). Lineage: Eukaryota; Viridiplantae; Streptophyta; Magnoliopsida; Asparagales; Asparagaceae. The record is from RNAcentral.
GGGUGCGAUCAUACCAGCACUACAACACUGAAUUCC